UUGAUCCUGGCUCAGGUUGGACGCUGGCGGCAUGCCUUACACAUGCAAGUCGAACGGCAGCAUGAUCUAGCUUGCGUAGAUUGAUGGCGAGUGGCGAACGGGUGAGUAAUACAUCGGAACGUGCCCUGUAGUGGGGGAUAACUAGUCGAAAGAUUAGCUAAUACCGCAUACGACCUGAGGGUGAAAGUGGGGGACCGCAAGGCCUCAUGCUAUAGGAGCGGCCGAUGUCUGAUUAGCUAGUUGGUGAGGUAAAGGCUCACCAAGGCGACGAUCAGUAGCUGGUCUGAGAGGACGAUCAGCCACACUGGGACUGAGACACGGCCCAGACUCCUACGGGAGGCAGCAGUGGGGAAUUUUGGACAAUGGGGGCAACCCUGGUCCAGCAAUGCCGCGUGUGUGAAGAAGGCCUUCGGGUUGUAAAGCACUUUUGUCCGGAAAGAAAUCGCACUUACUAAUA
This 457-nucleotide ribosomal RNA is filed under the name uncultured Ralstonia sp. RNAcentral's name for it is "bacterial SSU rRNA". It matches the Rfam family "Bacterial small subunit ribosomal RNA", at positions 13 to 465 of the family's 1533-position model. The record is from RNAcentral. Lineage: Bacteria; Pseudomonadati; Pseudomonadota; Betaproteobacteria; Burkholderiales; Burkholderiaceae.